UCCACUUUUCAAUUCACCAAUUUAUUGUUGAUAAUGUAUGGUCUAGUAAACAAAAUUUCUUCCAUAUCCGCUUCUGAUUGAAAUUUAAUUUAACUAGGUUGUAACCUUCAUCAUGGUAGUAAAGAUCUGGAGUAGCUACAGAGGUCCAUGUUUCAGCAACAACUUUCUUCAUAUAAUUGUGACCCGGCACAUCUCCAAUCACUUACAAUAUCAGAGAAUGCUUCCGUUUAAGCUCGUCUUCUUUUGUUCCUAUUUAUCUAUCUUCACCACUGAAGCCCCUAGUGUGAUGUAAUUCAAAGCAAUCCAAUUACUAGCCACUCAAUUACCAGCAAAAAGACUAAAUCAAGGGUUCGUUCUAGUCUCUGCAUCACCUUUGUUUCCUAGAUCUUCAGAUUUGUCGUGUAAAACUUGACCACCUUCUGUGUCCACUAAUGGAAAAGUAGUGGUGGAUACGUGAUUCAUUGGCAUUGUUACCUCAGGCGGAGAAAUUGGAGGUCUCGGCAUAACUUGGUUCACUCCUGAGCUCCGAUUAAUACUCUUAGACACAGAAUUGGACGUACUACAUGCUCCGAAAUCAUCUUCCAAUGUGUUUUGAACUCCCCGAUCUCCCGAGUUGCGUAAUUAACUCCUUCCUAGGUCUUUUCGUCGUCGCUGCCCUACCUGACGCACGAUAGCAGAACCUACGCCGAGAGCAUUUUAGAUAGGUGAGAGAAAAUCAAUUUCAUUUAUUUUUAACUAUUUUUUGUUAGAAGUGCUUUUAAAAAAAAAAAGUUAUUUCAGAGACAAAAAAUUUGUAUUUGACUAAUUAAUUUCAAAAAAUAUUUUGGGCAAUGUUAGGGAAGAAUUUAUAUUUGUUCAAGGUUCCAAAAGUGCUUUCAAAGAAAAUUAAUUACUCCCUUCAUUUUUAAAAAAAUAAUCUAAUUUGAAUUGAUACGAACUUAAAAAAAAAAAAAAAACUUUUAAAUUUUAUGAUCUUAAAUUAAAGAUAUGUCAAAUAUAUCAAAAUAUUUUCAAUCUUGUAAUCUUAAACAUGCCAUAUGAAAAGUUAAAAUUUAAAAAUUAAUAAAAAAAAUCAUUCUUUUUUAAACGGA
This 1091-nucleotide long non-coding RNA is filed under the name Capsicum annuum. Its description in RNAcentral is "long non-coding RNA (CANN_LNC018818)". The record is from RNAcentral. Lineage: Eukaryota; Viridiplantae; Streptophyta; Magnoliopsida; Solanales; Solanaceae.